This 2629-nucleotide long non-coding RNA is filed under the name Medicago truncatula (barrel medic). RNAcentral's name for it is "long non-coding RNA (MTRU_LNC002588)". Lineage: Eukaryota; Viridiplantae; Streptophyta; Magnoliopsida; Fabales; Fabaceae. The record is from RNAcentral.
AGUAUUAAAGAGAGUGUUUAAAAGAUAAUGUUGCUAAAUUCCUCAUAGAAUUGUAGAUGAGAAAUAUUUACAAAGUGGAAUAGAAUUGUGGAAUAUAUUCAUACUCUCAAGGAGAAAGUUAGAAACCAUUUUGGUGAUUUAUUCUCAACCAUUUAUUCUCUAAAAACUUAAAGGUCAACUACAAUUAACUCACAGUGUUUAUCUAGCAAUUACCCAAUUUUGUCCACAAGCAGUCAUAUCCGUGGUGAGCUUUUGAAUUCCAUAAGAUUCCAAGACAAUGAAAAUGUUAUAUAUAAAUGCAUACCAUGCUCAUUAAUUUUUCAAAACAAACCAAGUAGCUAUAGGACAUUAACUUCAUUUUGUUCCCGUGUGUUAAUUCCAAACAACGAAAGGCUAAAUUAGAUUAAAAAACGGUUAUAAUAUGAGGUAAAUGGUAGGGUACAUAGCAAACGUCCAAAGCACAGCCUUUUGGAGUUAUUGGUGUAUGGUAGGUUCCAACCCGUUCACUUCACUGUGUUGGAGUUUAUUAAAAGGACGAAAUUAGACCAUGCAUAUAUGUUAUCACACAUAAAAAAUGAACAUUCAACUUUAACCUGCCUACUCAAAAAUCACAAAUUUAGGUUUCUUGUACAGGCAUGAAUUCCAUAUAGAAAGAUAAACUUCCCCAUGGUCAUAUUUGUAGUGUUGAGUUUAGAGUUGAGUUUAAUUUUUCUGAAAGACUGAUAUAAAACGUUAGUCUACAUUUAAGACCUAUAUUAUACUAUUAGCAUAUUUAAACAAAUAAAAUCGCAUAUGUUUAAGUAGACUAGCAAAUGUGUAACCAAAAAAAAAAGUAGACUAGCUAAUGAGCUAAUAGACAAAUGAUCAUUAAACUAAAUUUUGAUAUUUAACACGACAUUAAUUUUAGAAAAUCCAACUAUAUAUAAUAUCAUAUAUCAAUUCUUAUUUAUCAUAAUACAUUUAAAUAUACAAAGAGAAAUACAAUAAUAUAGACUAAGAAGAUUAAAUUAUUAAAAGGGUUAGUUAAAUUUUAAUUUAAUGUAAAGUACAAAAUCUAACAUAAUAUAGAUUUAAAAAAAUUUAGUCCUUGCAAUUAUAUUUUUUUAGUUUCAGUCCCAAUAAAAAAAUUGUUUAGAUUCAAUCCAUGCAAAUUUUAAUAUUGUUGUUGAUCUUAGUCGGGAAAUACUUGGGUGCCAUAGUUUUUUGGUGUCAUUGGUGACAUAGGUUCAUUUUAGAUGAGAGAGAAUGAUGAAUGAAUAAUUAAAAUAAAUUAUUUUGAUGAGAGAGAAUAUGUUGGUAAGAGAGAGAUAGACACAAAAAUAUCAAUGACACCAAAAGGCAAUGGCACCAAAUUGCUACCCGUCUUAAUCUCUCACAUCAUACAUGACCCAAUAGAAUCACGUCACAUAGGCUAAUUAAAUAACCUAACUCACACACACACACUAGUGGACUUAUUUGUAUAUCUCGAAAUUCUAAACAUCAUUUUUCUAAAAAUUGGGGUAGAUGGAAUUUUUAAUAAUUAAAGACGACAUUAAUGAUCAUUUUACUCCUUAAAAAAUUAAUGAUCAUUUCACAAUUGUUAUCAUGGGGUUUGGCCAGGGUGCGUUUAAUUUGCUAAACAAUACUCCCUCCCGUCACUAUUAUAAGCAAAACUUUACUUUUUAGAUAUAUUGAAUAAUUAAUGUAUCUAGUUUUUAUUAUAGUAUGGAUACAUUAAUUAUUCAAUGUAUCUAAAAAGUGAAAUUUUGCUUAUAAUAGUGACCGAAAUGAGUAUACACAAGACAAAACAACACAACACAAGGCAGAACUGCACAUGACAAACUUUUAUGGUAUUGAAUAAUUUUUGGUGGACAAAAAUUUAUUUUUGUAUUUUAGAUAACUCAUACGUGAGACAAAAAAUUGUGUUGAGGUUUAGUGAGGGACAAAAAUUUCUGUUUUUGUCAUGUCCCUUGACUCCAGUUUGUGAUCCCUUCCCAAAAACAGUUUUAUAAACCAGAUACUAUACAACUGGAGUUAUCUUAUCAUGUCCUUCGUUUUUUAGCAGAUCAAACGCAUCCUUAAAGAUAAAAAGGCUAAACUUUUUUUUUCUUUCAAGAAAGGCUAAACUUUUACACAUUAUCACAUACUGUUACAAACAUCAUUUGAUUUUAAAUAAAAAGUACAAUGCCAAAACUACCAAAUAUUUAAAAUGAAAAGAAUGUUAUUAAUAUGUGUAAUUUAGUCAAUUUCAAUAAUGAAGAAUUCAUUUUUUGUUGAGAAAAAUAAUUUAGAUUGAGGGGAUGAUGCCCCAAUAUAAGACAGAAAAAAUCUUUAAGUUAAAAGAGCACUUACAAGUGUAUUUAUGUUUACCUCUUCUAAGAGAGUGCCUUCAACAUCCAUAUUUUUUUGAAUUUGAAUCCUCUCAAUUGUGAAAAAAAAAAACUUGAGAGAGUUACUGCAUGAUCACAUCUAUGCAUUUUAAUAGUAAAAUUAUCCAGAUAACUGUCACCAUUGUGAGGAUUCAAAUCCAUAUAUUUUGUUCAAUCUAUGAACAACUUUAACUAAUUUUAUUAUAUUUAAUGCUAUUAUAAAUACUCUUCAUUGAUUUAAAAUUUUAUUCUCUGAUGCAUUUUAGAAAUAAAUAUUUUUU